This 2356-nucleotide ribosomal RNA is filed under the name Salmonella enterica. RNAcentral describes it as "partial 23S ribosomal RNA". It matches the Rfam family "Bacterial large subunit ribosomal RNA", at positions 594 to 2925 of the family's 2925-position model. The record is from RNAcentral. Lineage: Bacteria; Pseudomonadati; Pseudomonadota; Gammaproteobacteria; Enterobacterales; Enterobacteriaceae.
UGACUGCGUACCUUUUGUAUAAUGGGUCAGCGACUUAUAUUCUGUAGCAAGGUUAACCGAAUAGGGGAGCCGGAGGGAAACCGAGUCUUAACCGGGCGUUAAGUUGCAGGGUAUAGACCCGAAACCCGGUGAUCUAGCCAUGGGCAGGUUGAAGGUUGGGUAACACUAACUGGAGGACCGAACCGACUAAUGUUGAAAAAUUAGCGGAUGACCUGUGGCUGGGGGUGAAAGGCCAAUCAAACCGGGAGAUAGCUGGUUCUCCCCGAAAGCUAUUUAGGUAGCGCCUCGUGAACUCAUCUCCGGGGGUAGAGCACUGUUUCGGCUAGGGGGCCAUCCCGGCUUACCAACCCGAUGCAAACUGCGAAUACCGGAGAAUGUUAUCACGGGAGACACACGGCGGGUGCUAACGUCCGUCGUGAAGAGGGAAACAACCCAGACCGCCAGCUAAGGUCCCAAAGUCAUGGUUAAGUGGGAAACGAUGUGGGAAGGCCCAGACAGCCAGGAUGUUGGCUUAGAAGCAGCCAUCAUUUAAAGAAAGCGUAAUAGCUCACUGGUCGAGUCGGCCUGCGCGGAAGAUGUAACGGGGCUAAACCAUGCACCGAAGCUGCGGCAGCGACACUCAGGUGUUGUUGGGUAGGGGAGCGUUCUGUAAGCCUGCGAAGGUGGCCUGUGAGGGUUGCUGGAGGUAUCAGAAGUGCGAAUGCUGACAUAAGUAACGAUAAAGCGGGUGAAAAGCCCGCUCGCCGGAAGACCAAGGGUUCCUGUCCAACGUUAAUCGGGGCAGGGUGAGUCGACCCCUAAGGCGAGGCCGAAAGGCGUAGUCGAUGGGAAACGGGUUAAUAUUCCCGUACUUGGUGUUACUGCGAAGGGGGGACGGAGAAGGCUAUGUUGGCCGGGCGACGGUUGUCCCGGUUUAAGCGUGUAGGUGUGUGUUCCAGGUAAAUCCGGUUCACUUUAACACUGAGGCGUGAUGACGAGGCACUACGGUGCUGAAGCAACAAAUGCCCUGCUUCCAGGAAAAGCCUCUAAGCAUCAGGUAACAUCAAAUCGUACCCCAAACCGACACAGGUGGUCAGGUAGAGAAUACCAAGGCGCUUGAGAGAACUCGGGUGAAGGAACUAGGCAAAAUGGUGCCGUAACUUCGGGAGAAGGCACGCUGACACGUAGGUGAAGUGAUUUACUCAUGGAGCUGAAGUCAGUCGAAGAUACCAGCUGGCUGCAACUGUUUAUUAAAAACACAGCACUGUGCAAACACGAAAGUGGACGUAUACGGUGUGACGCCUGCCCGGUGCCGGAAGGUUAAUUGAUGGGGUCAGCGCAAGCGAAGCUCCUGAUCGAAGCCCCGGUAAACGGCGGCCGUAACUAUAACGGUCCUAAGGUAGCGAAAUUCCUUGUCGGGUAAGUUCCGACCUGCACGAAUGGCGUAAUGAUGGCCAGGCUGUCUCCACCCGAGACUCAGUGAAAUUGAACUCGCUGUGAAGAUGCAGUGUACCCGCGGCAAGACGGAAAGACCCCGUGAACCUUUACUAUAGCUUGACACUGAACAUUGAGCCUUGAUGUGUAGGAUAGGUGGGAGGCUUUGAAGUGUGGACGCCAGUCUGCAUGGAGCCGGCCUUGAAAUACCACCCUUUAAUGUUUGAUGUUCUAACGUGGACCCGUGAUCCGGGUUGCGGACAGUGUCUGGUGGGUAGUUUGACUGGGGCGGUCUCCUCCUAAAGAGUAACGGAGGAGCACGAAGGUUGGCUAAUCCUGGUCGGACAUCAGGAGGUUAGUGCAAUGGCAUAAGCCAGCUUGACUGCGAGCGUGACGGCGCGAGCAGGUGCGAAAGCAGGUCAUAGUGAUCCGGUGGUUCUGAAUGGAAGGGCCAUCGCUCAACGGAUAAAAGGUACUCCGGGGAUAACAGGCUGAUACCGCCCAAGAGUUCAUAUCGACGGCGGUGUUUGGCACCUCGAUGUCGGCUCAUCACAUCCUGGGGCUGAAGUAGGUCCCAAGGGUAUGGCUGUUCGCCAUUUAAAGUGGUACGCGAGCUGGGUUUAGAACGUCGUGAGACAGUUCGGUCCCUAUCUGCCGUGGGCGCUGGAGAACUGAGGGGGGCUGCUCCUAGUACGAGAGGACCGGAGUGGACGCAUCACUGGUGUUCGGGUUGUCAUGCCAAUGGCACUGCCCGGUAGCUAAAUGCGGAAGAGAUAAGUGCUGAAAGCAUCUAAGCACGAAACUUGCCCCGAGAUGAGUUCUCCCUGAGACUUUAGGUCUCCUGAAGGAACGUUGAAGACGACGACGUUGAUAGGCCGGGUGUGUAAGCGCAGCGAUGCGUUGAGCUAACCGGUACUAAUGAACCGUGAGGCUUAACCUUACA